This 396-nucleotide ribosomal RNA is filed under the name uncultured bacterium. Its description in RNAcentral is "bacterial SSU rRNA". It matches the Rfam family "Bacterial small subunit ribosomal RNA", at positions 975 to 1375 of the family's 1533-position model. The record is from RNAcentral.
CGGGUCUUGACAUCCAGUGAAAGGUCCAGAGAUUGAUCCCUCUCUUCCGAGACACCAAGACCGGUGGUGCAUGGUUGUCCUCCGCUCCUGUCCUGAGAUGUUGGGUUAAGUCCCGCAACCAGCGCCACCCUUAUCAUUAGUUGCCUACCCCAGAGCCCUCCUAAUGAGACUGCCGUUGACAAAACGGAGGAAGGUGGGGAUGACGUCAAAUCAUCAUGCCCUUUAUGACCCGGGCUACACACGUACUACAAUGGUGUUAAACAAAGAGAAGCGAAACCGCGAGGCGGAGCAAAUCUCGAAAAAACAUCUCAGUUCAGAUUGCAGGCUGCAACUCGCCUGCAUGAAGUCGGAAUUGCUAGUAAUCGUAGGUCAGCAUACUACGGUGAAUACGUUCCC